RNAcentral lists this long non-coding RNA (343 nucleotides) under Trifolium pratense (red clover). RNAcentral's name for it is "long non-coding RNA (TPRA_LNC011405)". Lineage: Eukaryota; Viridiplantae; Streptophyta; Magnoliopsida; Fabales; Fabaceae. The record is from RNAcentral.
UGGUGGUUCGGGGUGGAGUGGCGGCAUCGGGAAAUGACGAUUGUGACCUUGAUUUUGAGUUUGAUUUUGAUUGCUUCUUGUUGCUGCUGCUAUUGCUGUUACUGUGCUUUGAAUUGGAAGAAGGCAUGGUUGAGAGUGUGCGUUUUUGACAGCGGAGUUUGAAUUUGUUGUUGAAGUGAGUUAAGAAGAAGAACAAGGUUGGAACCUUUUCUCUCACGGUAGGGUUUUACUUGUACCCAAAUGGAGAUGGAUUUGACUUGGUAGGGUUUUACAAACAACUUCUUCACAAUGUUCACAUUGUUGAUUUUGAGUUUCUUUUUGUCAAGAUUAAGUUUUUUUUUUU